AGGUGGGCACUCUAAGGAGACUGCCGGUGACAAACCGGAGGAAGGUGGGAUGACGUCAAGUCAUCAUGGCCCUUACGGCCUGGGCUACACACGUGCUACAAUGGUCGGUACAAAGGGUUGCCAAGCCGCGAGGCGGAGCUAAUCCCAUAAAACCGAUCGUAGUCCGGAUCGCAGUCUGCAACUCGACUGCGUGAAGUCGGAAUCGCUAGUAAUCGUGAAUCAGAAUGUCACGGUGAAUACGUUCCCGGGCCUU
RNAcentral lists this ribosomal RNA (253 nucleotides) under uncultured Pseudomonas sp. RNAcentral's name for it is "partial 16S ribosomal RNA". It matches the Rfam family "Bacterial small subunit ribosomal RNA", at positions 1129 to 1382 of the family's 1533-position model. The record is from RNAcentral. Lineage: Bacteria; Pseudomonadati; Pseudomonadota; Gammaproteobacteria; Pseudomonadales; Pseudomonadaceae.